CGGAGGACCUGGUGGGAGCGGACCGCAGUGUCAGCGCUGGGCGGCUCCGCCUCUCCCUGGCUCCAGAUUGAGGCUUGAGCUGUCCUGCCCUGAUUUGUGCUGAGAAGAGGGUCUCCUCCUGCAGUGGACUCUGUCAGACCCCACCUAGACCCGCUCCAAGACCCAGACACUCAUCGCCAGCUGCCAGGAGCACCAGUCACAGCUGGCUCAGAGCUGAAACCCCCCGCACCCAGGAGUCACCUUCAGUGGGGAGCAUGCCCCAGUCUGCCUCUGCAGGCAAAUCCCCAGCUCAGAGCCUGUGUCCAGGAAUCCCCAGGCUCUCAGCCCACCCUGGCCUCCUGAGUGAGGUCAUCAGAAGGAUGAUCAGAGGGGGGUCGAUACACGUGUGCUCAGUGUCAGGCCUCUGAGCCCAAGCCUGCACGUAUACAUCCAGAUGAAGCAAGUGAAGAAUCACAAAAGAAGUGAAAAUGGCCGGUUCCUGCCUUAACUGAUGACAUUACCUUGUGAAAUUCCUUCUCCUGGCUCAGAAGCUCCCCCACUGAGGCACCUUGUGACCCCCACUCCUCCCCGCCACAGAACAACCCCCUUUGACUGUAAUUUUCCACUGCCCGCCCAAACCCUAUAAAACGGUCCCACCCCAUCUCCCUUCCCUGACUCUCUUUUCUUCGGACUCAGCCCGCCUGCACCCAGGUGAAAUAAACAGCCUUGUUGCUCACACAAA
Homo sapiens (human) is the source of this 721-nucleotide long non-coding RNA. RefSeq lists it as uncharacterized. The record is from RefSeq and is a predicted model, not a curated record. The transcript has 2 exons. NCBI's taxonomy places the organism in Eukaryota, Metazoa, Chordata, Mammalia, Primates, Hominidae.